Long non-coding RNA from Triticum aestivum (bread wheat), 572 nucleotides. RefSeq lists it as uncharacterized. The record is from RefSeq and is a predicted model, not a curated record. The transcript is spliced from 4 exons. Lineage: Eukaryota; Viridiplantae; Streptophyta; Magnoliopsida; Poales; Poaceae.
CUUGCGCCGUCCACCUCGUCCUCUUCCUCCCGCUCGCCUCUCUCUCUCUCCCUCCAAACCCUAGCCUCGCUCCCGCCUUCCUGCCCUGCUGCCGUCCAAAUCCAACCCACGCCGCCGCAAUCUCCUUCGCCUAGCAGGCCGCCGCCGCCCCGCCGUCUCCUCAACCCAGCCGACCCCCCCCCCCCCCGGCGCGGCCAUCGUCGACGGUGAGGAGGAGGAGCACGGUGGGAAGGAGGAGGACAGCCAGGGGAGGAAGGACAGCAUCAACGUCUCGUCUCCGUCUAGAUCCUCCUGUACCCAACACGAGAUGGAGAGAGGGAUGUUUGGAAGGAGAUGGGAGGAACAGGAGAAGGGAAGGAGAAGUUGUGCCACAUCCAUCCCGUCCACUGCAUCAUGCGCGGCGACCGGUUGGGUUCUGGGUCGGGAACUAGGAUUGGUGAUUUGAGUGGCUAAUUUCGAGAGUGGUGUCGACAGCGAGAGGCGUCUAUGAUAAUGGAGGCAGCGACAAGCACAAAUAUGCUGUAGCUUUGAGGGGUGUAGAAGCUAGAGAGAACUGAUUAUGUGAGGAUACA